RNAcentral lists this ribosomal RNA (859 nucleotides) under uncultured bacterium. RNAcentral describes it as "bacterial SSU rRNA". It matches the Rfam family "Bacterial small subunit ribosomal RNA", at positions 8 to 913 of the family's 1533-position model. The record is from RNAcentral.
AGAGUUUGAUCCUGGCUCAGAACGAACGCUGGCGGCAGGCCUUAUACAUGCAAGUCGAGCGCGCCCUUCGGGGUGAGCGGCGGACGGGUGAGUAACGCGUGGGAAUAUGCCCUUCUCUAAGGAAUAGCCUCUGGAAACGGAGAGUAAUACCUUAUACGCCCUUUGGGGGAAAGAUUUAUCGGAGAAGGAUUAGCCCGCGUUAGAUUAGGUAGUUGGUGGGGUAAUGGCCUACCAAGCCUACGAUCUAUAGCUGGUUUGAGAGGAUGAUCAGCCACACUGGGACUGAGACACGGCCCAGACUCCUACGGGAGGCAGCAGUAGGGAAUCUUAGACAAUGGGGGCAACCCUGAUCUAGCCAUGCCGCGUGUGUGAUGAAGGCCCUAGGGUCGUAAAGCACUUUCGCCAGAGAUGAUAAUGACAGUAUCUGGUAAAGAAACCCCGGCUAACUCCGUGCCAGCAGCCGCGGUAAUACGGAGGGGGUUAGCGUUGUUCGGAAUUACUGGGCGUAAAGCGCACGUAGGCGGAUUAGUAAGUUAGAGGUGAAAUCCCAGGGCUCAACCCUGGAACUGCCUUUAAUACUGCUAGUCUUGAGUUCGAGAGAGGUAAGUGGAAUUCCGAGUGUAGAGGUGAAAUUCGUAGAUAUUCGGAGGAACACCAGUGGCGAAGGCGGCUUACUGGCUCGAUACUGACGCUGAGGUGCGAAAGUGUGGGGAGCAAACAGGAUUAGAUACCCUGGUAGUCCACACCGUAAACGAUGAAUGCCAGACGUCAGCAAGUAUACUUGUUGGUGUCACACCUAACGGAUUAAGCAUUCCGCCUGGGGGAGUACGGUCGCAAGAUUAAAACUCAAAGGAAUUGA